UCGUGACUCGGGUUCCGAGUCUGGUUACCUAAGGGCUACAGCCUACGGUGCCAGACCGAUAGGGUACAGCUGGAAACGGCUGUGCCUCCCGGGCUUGGAAAGGAACCCGCCAAAAAAGGGU
RNAcentral lists this non-coding RNA (121 nucleotides) under Thermovibrio ammonificans. Its description in RNAcentral is "MoCo sequence". It matches the Rfam family "Molybdenum/Tungsten riboswitch aptamer (Moco RNA motif)". The record is from RNAcentral. Lineage: Bacteria; Pseudomonadati; Aquificota; Aquificia; Desulfurobacteriales; Desulfurobacteriaceae.